CUGAAGCCAUACUGACAACCCAAAUGAAGUCUGUUGGUGAAUCCAUGGCAGUAGGUCGCACAUUCCAAGAAUCCUUCCAAAAAGCAGUACGGUCCCUGGAAUGUGGGUAUUCUGGAUGGGGCUGUGCACAGGUUAAGGAAAUGAACUGGGAUUGGGACAAGUUGAAGUAUAGUCUCCGGGUUCCGAAUCCUGAACGCAUCCAUGCCAUAUAUGCUGCAAUGAAGAGGGGGAUGAAGGUAGAUGACAUUCAUGAGCUCAGUUACAUAGACAAAUGGUUCCUCACUCAGCUAAGGGAGCUUGUAGAUGUGGAGCAAUUCCUUCUGGCUCACAGUUUGUCUGACUUAACAAAGGAUGACUUCUAUGAAGUGAAAAAGAGAGGGUUUAGUGACAGGCAGAUAGCUUUUGUGACGAAGUCCAGUGAGCAGGAGGUUCGGUUGAGGCGUUUGUCUCUGGGUGUGAAACCAGCAUAUAAACGAGUUGAUACAUGUGCUGCAGAAUUUGAGGCUGAUACACCUUAUAUGUAUUCAUCUUAUGACCUUGAGUGUGAAUCCGCUCCUACACAAAGGAAGAAAGUGUUAAUUUUAGGUGGAGGACCAAACCGAAUUGGACAGGGCAUUGAAUUUGAUUAUUGCUGCUGUCAUACAUCAUUUGCCCUUCAGGACGCAGGCUAUGAAACAAUUAUGAUGAAUUCCAAUCCCGAGACAGUUUCUACAGAUUACGACACAAGUGACCGUCUUUACUUUGAGCCUCUGACAGUUGAAGAUGUUAUUAAUAUCAUUGACUUGGAAGGACCUGAUGGUAUCAUUGUGCAGUUUGGAGGUCAAACACCAUUGAAAUUGGCUCUGCCUAUUCAGAAUUACUUGGAUGAGCGAAAGCCUAAGAGCAAAAGUGGAGCUGGCUUUGUUAGCAUUUGGGGUACAUCACCUGACAACAUUGAUGCAGCUGAAGAUAGGGAGAGGUUCAAUGCUAUCCUGAAUGAACUGCAGAUUGCUCAGCCAAAAGGGGGUAUUGCAAAGAGCGAAAAGGACGCCCUUGCCAUUGCGGCAGAAGUAGGAUACCCUGUUGUCGUCCGACCAUCUUAUGUCUUAGGUGGCCGGGCAAUGGAGAUAGUUUACAACAAUGAAAAAUUAGUGAGAUACCUUGAAAAUGCUGUUAAGGUAGACCCAGAGCGCCCUGUCCUCAUUGACAAGUAUUUAACUGAUGCUGUAGAGAUUGAUAUUGAUGCACUUGCUGAUUUGUAUGGUAAUGUGGUUAUUGGUGGAAUAAUGGAGCACAUUGAGCAGGCCGGGGUUCACUCAGGUGACUCAGCUUGCAUGCUUCCAACAAAAACAGUUUCAGAUUCAUGCUUGGAAACUAUUAGGUCGUGGACUACAAAAUUAGCUAAGAGGCUAAAUGUGUGUGGCCUCAUGAAUUGCCAAUAUGCCAUUACUACUACUGGUGAGGUUUUCUUGCUCGAGGCUAACCCCCGUGCAUCACGAACAGUUCCUUUUGUUUCCAAGGCGAUUGGGCACCCGUUGGCAAAAUAUGCUGCUCUAGUCAUGUCAGGAAAAUCCCUGUAUGACCUAAACUUCACCAAGGAGGUUAUCCCCAAACAUGUAUCAGUUAAAGAAGCUGUUCUUCCAUUCGAGAAAUUCCAAGGCUGUGAUGUGCUUCUUGGUCCUGAGAUGCGCAGCACUGGUGAGGUAAUGGGUAUCCACUAUGAGUCAUCAAUUGCAUAUGCCAAAGCACAAAUUGCCGCUGGACAGAAAAUGCCACUUUCAGGUACUCUGUUCCUCAGUUUAAAUGAAUUGACAAAACCCCAUCUUACUACAAUUGCUCGAGCCUUCGCGGAACUUGGAUUUCAAAUUAUUGCAACUUCCGGAACUGCUCGUGUACUCGAAUUAGAAGGCAUGCCAGUGGAGCAAGUGCUUAAAAUGCAUGAAGGGCGGCCACAUGCUGCUGAUCUCAUCGCCAAU
Molecule: unclassified non-coding RNA, 1955 nt
Filed under: Hevea brasiliensis (rubber tree)
Lineage: Eukaryota; Viridiplantae; Streptophyta; Magnoliopsida; Malpighiales; Euphorbiaceae
Source: RNAcentral